Long non-coding RNA from Corvus hawaiiensis (hawaiian crow), 220 nucleotides. RefSeq lists it as uncharacterized. The transcript has 3 exons. Lineage: Eukaryota; Metazoa; Chordata; Aves; Passeriformes; Corvidae. The record is from RefSeq and is a predicted model, not a curated record.
GAAUGGAUCUUAGAAGUCUGUGAAGUGCUGGUAGCUGGAGGUGUCUGAGCAGAUGGGCUCACUUAACGUGUGUAAAGAGCAUAAAAAUCAACAGCAGGAAUGAUUGCCCUUUGAAGCAAGCACGUCUUGACCUUGGACUGACAAAGGCGUACUCACUAAUAACUAAUAGCAUAUUCUUCUCAACCAAUCAGCCAGUCAACACUAACGACUCAGAGGUAAU